Molecule: ribosomal RNA, 482 nt
Filed under: uncultured bacterium
Lineage: Bacteria
Description: partial 16S ribosomal RNA
Rfam family: Bacterial small subunit ribosomal RNA
Source: RNAcentral
GACGAACGCUGGCGGCGUGCUUAACACAUGCCAGUCGAACGCUGAAGCUCAGCUUGCUGGGUGGAUGAGUGGCGAACGGGUGAGUAACACGUGAGUAACCUGCCCUCUUCUUUGGGAUAACGCCCGGAAACGGGUGCUAAUACUGGAUAUUCACUGAUUCUCGCAUGGGGGUUGGUGGAAAGGUUUUUUCUGGUGGGGGAUGGGCUCGCGGCCUAUCAGCUUGUUGGUGGGGUGAUGGCCUACCAAGGCUUUGACGGGUAGCCGGCCUGAGAGGGUGACCGGUCACAUUGGGACUGAGAUACGGCCCAGACUCCUACGGGAGGCAGCAGUGGGGAAUAUUGCACAAUGGGCGAAAGCCUGAUGCAGCGACGCCGCGUGAGGGAUGGAGGCCUUCGGGUUGUAAACCUCUUUCGCUCAUGGUCAAGCCGCAGCUUUGGGUUGUGGUGAGGGUAGUGGGUAAAGAAGCGCCGGCUAACUACGUG